ACUCCUACGGGAGGCAGCAGUGGGGAAUAUUGGACAAUGGGGGAACCCUGAUCCAGCCAUGCCGCGUGUGUGAAGAAGGCCUUAUGGUUGUAAAGCACUUUAAGCGAGGAGGAGGCUACUAGUAUUAAAUACCUACUGGAUAGUGGACGUUACUCGCAGAAUAAGCACCGGCUAACUCUGUGCCAGCAGCCGCGGUAAUACAGAGGGUGCGAGCGUUAAUCGGAUUUACUGGGCGUAAAGCGUGCGUAGGCGGCCAUUUAAGUCAAAUGUGAAAUCCCCGAGCUUAACUUGGGAAUUGCAUUCGAUACUGGAUGGCUAGAGUAUGGGAGAGGAUGGUAGAAUUCCAGGUGUAGCGGUGAAAUGCGUAGAGAUCUGGAGGAAUACCGAUGGCGAAGGCAGCCAUCUGGCCUAAUACUGACGCUGAGGUACGAAAGCAUGGGGAGCAAACAGGAUUAGAUACCCU
Molecule: ribosomal RNA, 463 nt
Filed under: uncultured bacterium
Lineage: Bacteria
Description: bacterial SSU rRNA
Rfam family: Bacterial small subunit ribosomal RNA
Source: RNAcentral